Molecule: ribosomal RNA, 328 nt
Filed under: uncultured soil bacterium
Lineage: Bacteria
Description: bacterial SSU rRNA
Rfam family: Bacterial small subunit ribosomal RNA
Source: RNAcentral
AGAUUGAACGCUGGCGGCAGGCCUAACACAUGCAAGUCGAGCGGUAGAGAGGUGCUUGCAUCUCUUGAGAGCGGCGGACGGGUGAGUAAUGCCUAGGAAUCUGCCUAGUGGUGGGGGAUAACGUUCGGAAACGGACGCUAAAUACCGCAUACGUCCUACGGGAGAAAGCGGGGGACCUUCGGGCCUCGCGCCAUUAGAUGAGCCGUAGGUCGGAUUAGCUAGUUGGUGAGGUAAUGGCUCACCAAGGCGACGAUCCGUAACUGGUCUGAGAGGAUGAUCAGUCACACUGGAACUGAGACACGGUCAGACUCCUACGGGAGCAGCAGGU